Molecule: ribosomal RNA, 1705 nt
Filed under: uncultured eukaryote
Lineage: Eukaryota
Description: partial Eukaryotic large subunit ribosomal RNA
Rfam family: Eukaryotic large subunit ribosomal RNA
Source: RNAcentral
ACCUCCAAUCAGUCAAGAAUACCCGCUGAAUUUAAGCAUAUUAUUAGGCGGAGGAAAAGAAACUAACCAGGAUUCCCUCAGUAACUGCGAGUGAAGCGGGAGAAGCUCAGACUGAAAAUCUUCGGAAUUGUAGUCUGGAGAAGCAUGGUCAGCCGAUGGUCUCGGGCAAAGUCUUCUGGAAAGGAGCGCCUUGGAGGGUGACAGCCCCGUUCAUGCCUGAGACUAGAAGCGUACGACCUGCUUUCUACGAGUCGAGUUGUUUGGGAUUGCAGCUCUAAGUGGGUGGUAAAUUCCAUCUAAAGCUAAAUAUUGGUGGGAGACCGAUAGCGAACAAGUACCGCGAGGGAAAGAUGAAAAGGACUUUGAAAAGAGAGUUAAAGAGUGCUUGAAAUUGCCGGGAGGGAAGCGGAUGGAGGCUGUCGAUGCGUCUCGGUCGGAUGUGGAACGGCUCAGGCUGGUCCGCCGCUCGACUUGAGGUGCAAACCAACACGGGCUGCUGCAUCGUCACAAGCGCGGGCGGAUUGCCGCCUGUCGGUUUGCCGCUGCGGUGGUCGAGGAACGAAGCGUGCGCCCUUGUGGCGGGCCGUGUGCACCUGCGCGCUCGUGGUGUUGGUUGGCGGGCUUUCCAUUCGACCCGUCUUGUAACACGGACCAAGGAGUCUAACAUGUGUGCGAGUGCUCGGGGUGAACCCCCCAGCGCGAAAUUAACGUAAAGGUGGAUUUAUUCACUUAGGUAGGAACUUCGGUGCACUAUCGACCGACCAUGAUCCUCCGGGAGAAAGGUUUGAGUGUGAGCAUACAUGUUGGGACCCGAAAGAUGGUGAACUAUGCCUGAAUAGGGUGAAGUCAGAGGAAACUCUGAUGGAGGCUCGCAGCGAUUCUGACGUGCAAAUCGAUCGUCAAAUUUGGGUAUAGGGGCGAAAGACUAAUCGAACCAUCUAGUAGCUGGUUCCUCCCGAAAUUUCCCUUAGGAUAGCUGCAACCGAACAGUUUUAUCAGGUAAAGCGAAUGAUUAGAGGCCUCAGGUGUGGAAUGCUCUUGACCUAUUCUCAAACUUUAAAUGGGUAAGAACCCUGGGUUGCUUAAUUGAACCCGGCGGUCGAAUGACGGUUGCUAGUGGGCCAAUCUGGGUAAGCUAGAUUGGCGAUGCGGGAUGAUCCGAACGUCAAGUUAAAGUGCCAAAGUAUCCGCUAACCUAGAUCCCACAAAAGGUGUUGGUUCAUUAAGACAGCAGGACGGUGGCCAUGGAAGUCGGAACCCGCUAAGGAGUGUGUAACAACCCACCUGCCGAAUGAACUAGCCCUGAAAAUGGAUGGCGCUGAAGCGGAUCACUUAUACUUGACCAACACAGCAAAUGCGAGGCUGUGUUGAGUAGGGGGGCGUGGGGCUCGUUGUGCAUUCUGUGGCGUAAGCCGGGAUGAAACGGGCUCUAGUGCAGAUCUUGGUAGCAGUAGCAAAUAUUCAAAUGAGAACUUUGAAGACUGAAGUGGAGAAAGGUUCCAUGUGAACAGUAAUUGGACAUGGGUGAGUCGAUCCUAAGAGAUAGGAGAAUUCUAUUUGAAAGCGGUCCUUCCUCGGAUGGACCCGGCUAUCGAAAGGGAAUCGGGUUAAUAUUCCCGAACCAGAACGUGGAUAAUGAGUGGUAACACAAACGAAACUGGGGACGUUGGCGAGAGCCCCGGGAAGAGUUCUCUUUUCUUUUUAA